Molecule: ribosomal RNA, 632 nt
Filed under: uncultured Rhodocyclus sp.
Lineage: Bacteria; Pseudomonadati; Pseudomonadota; Betaproteobacteria; Rhodocyclales; Rhodocyclaceae
Description: bacterial SSU rRNA
Rfam family: Bacterial small subunit ribosomal RNA
Source: RNAcentral
AGUGGCGCAUGCUUUACCAUGCAAGUCGAACGGCAGCACGGGAGCUUGCUCCUGGUGGCGAGUGGCGAACGGGUGAGUAAUGCAUCGGAACGUGCCCUGAAGUGGGGGAUAACGCAGCGAAAGUUGCGCUAAUACCGCAUAUUCUGUGAGCAGGAAAGCAGGGGAUCGCAAGACCUUGCGCUUUAGGAGCGGCCGAUGUCGGAUUAGCUAGUUGGUGGGGUAAAGGCUCACCAAGGCGACGAUCCGUAGCGGGUCUGAGAGGAUGAUCCGCCACACUGGGACUGAGACACGGCCCAGACUCCUACGGGAGGCAGCAGUGGGGAAUUUUGGACAAUGGGCGAAAGCCUGAUCCAGCCAUGCCGCGUGAGUGAAGAAGGCCUUCGGGUUGUAAAGCUCUUUCGGCGGGGAAGAAAUCGCAUUCUCUAAUACAGGAUGUGGAUGACGGUACCCGAAUAAGAAGCACCGGCUAACUACGUGCCAGCAGCCGCGGUAAUACGUAGGGUGCGAGCGUUAAUCGGAAUUACUGGGCGUAAAGCGUGCGCAGGCGGUUUCGUAAGACAGACGUGAAAUCCCCGGGCUCAACCUGGGAACUGCGUUUGUGACUGCGAGGCUAGAGUUUGCAAGAGGGGGGU